UGCUUUGAGUUAGGUACUAUCAAUUUACUUAUUUAUUUCAUUUACAAUUGCUUGGGACAUUGAGCUUUUCUUGUGAUGAAAGUUGGCUACUAAUUUUAGAGAACUCUUGGAGUUGUUCUUAUAUGUUACCCUCCAAAACCGUCUUUCUCCAACUUUGGUAAAAGUUGUUGCUAACUAGAUAUUCAUAUUGCAUUUCAGCCAUCCUACAAGACCAAGGCAGCGUACCUGGUGGUGUCGACAAGUGAAAAGUGCUCAUCGAAGCUGUGUUUUGUUUUGAACCUAUUAGACAUAAGACUAUGAGCUCACUGUUAGUAAAAGUUGAGCAAUGAGCUUUAAGUGUUAAUGAGCUAAGCUUUUGGUUACAAGUAGUGGAUGUAUGAAUUUUGGU
RNAcentral lists this long non-coding RNA (388 nucleotides) under Sorghum bicolor (sorghum). RNAcentral describes it as "long non-coding RNA (SBIC_LNC014445)". The record is from RNAcentral. Lineage: Eukaryota; Viridiplantae; Streptophyta; Magnoliopsida; Poales; Poaceae.